UGUCUAGAGAUGCAAUCAAAGAUUGAAAUCCCGGCCGAGCUGCACACGUUUACUAGAACUGUCAUUUCCAUUUCAAACUACACAAGUCUAAACAGACUAUCACCGCUGACACUAAGCGCCUCAGAAGCCAGCUAUGGGCAAUUGCAGAAAUGACUGCUGAAUCAACCCUCUAUGAAGACAUGGAUGUCACUGCAGUUAUGCAAGACAGCAAGAGUGGGGAUCACAUAUGGUAUGAGACCACAGAUCAUCAUGAAACGUCGGUUUAAUCUUAAUGCAACAAAAGGUAGAGAAGUCUUUGGUAGUGAUUUUUUUGCUCUUUCGGCGUUUUAUAUUAAAUUUGUACUAAGCAGUGCUUGUUUUUUUGCUCUACCUUUGACUUGACAAUUGUUGGCUUGUUUGUCUAUCGCUUGCAUGCUUGUAAGAAUCACAACAACCUGAUAUCUGUUUUAAUUAUCUGUUUGUGAAAAGAUAACAUUGCAGUGUUUCUCGA
Corticium candelabrum is the source of this 490-nucleotide long non-coding RNA. RefSeq lists it as uncharacterized. The transcript has 2 exons. The record is from RefSeq and is a predicted model, not a curated record. Lineage: Eukaryota; Metazoa; Porifera; Homoscleromorpha; Homosclerophorida; Plakinidae.